RNAcentral lists this unclassified non-coding RNA (2427 nucleotides) under Hevea brasiliensis (rubber tree). Lineage: Eukaryota; Viridiplantae; Streptophyta; Magnoliopsida; Malpighiales; Euphorbiaceae. The record is from RNAcentral.
AACCUUCCUUAUCUCUAUCCAUUUUCCCCUUUCCCUUCACUGAGCCACCGUCACUCUGUUCUAAAAAACAGAGCUUACGUCAAUGGCGAGUUCUUCUUCACUGACGUCUGCUCUGAUAAAUUCUUCCCCAUUUUGCGCUAAAUCCUUCUCCAAAUUUCAAUUUUUAUCCUUCCUCUCUUUUGCUCAUACCCUGAAGUCUUUCCCCGCUGCAAGCUCGAAAGCUCUUCUUCUCCAAGAGAGGCAAGGUUGCUUGACCGUCAAGGCCCAAACACUAGACUUCUCUGGUUCGUUUUAUGAAGGUGGUGGGUUCGGGUCGGACGAAGACCCGCCAUCGCUAGCUGGGUCAGGGAUGACUGCUGUCGAGGACAAGGAGCCGCCCCCAUGCCCUCCUGGGCUUCGACAAUACGAGACCAUGGCGGUUUUGAGGCCGGAUAUGUCUGAAGAUGAACGACUUGCUCUUACUCAGAAGUACGAGGAGGUAAUAUUUUCGAAUUUCCCUUUAUUUUUUUUUUUUAAUCUCUUCUCUAUGAUACGUAGGUAGGUGGAUUAGUGCUAGAAAGUUUUAAACUUCAUCUUUAGAACAUAAAGAGUGGUAAAUUAAGGUUUCUGAAACAUAAACAAGAAGUAUGUACUGAUCUAUUGGAAGAACUUUCCUCAUUAAUAUCCUCUUCUUUGGUGCACGAUUAGUGUCUUCAAAAUGCUAAUAUGUAGGGUAGCUUCUGUAUACAUCCUUGCCUCCUGUUGUAUCUUUGGUGACAUGACAUCCGUGUUUGACUCUAGUUUAGUUGAUUUAGACUCUAGUUUAGUUCAUUUAAAUGAAAUCUGCUUUUGUAUCUGUAUGCCUUAGAUGACGGAAAGAUUAGAAGAAUUUGCCUUUAUAUAUGCUGCUGAAAUCUUGCUGUGGACUACCCCAUUAAGUUACUUUAACUUAUGCCCAUUAAUCUUUAUCUUUCCAAGAAUGAAACUAUAUAUAUGUUGGGCAUAUGUUUAUAUUUGCUUGUUGCCUGCACAUCAUUAGCUUUUAGAUGAAUCUAAUAUAAUGGAUGGAGAAUGUUAUGUGUAGAAUUCAACAUACAAGGAAAACAUGAGAUGUACUUUGCUUAAAAAUCUUUUAGAAACCAUGGUGCUAAGCUUAGAUAUCCUCGUUAUACUAUAUGUGGAUGAGUUAAGCCUCCUCUAAUUAAUUGUGGAGUAUUUGUUAUUGCAGCUACUAAUUAAAUGUCUGGAUUUUUGUUUUCAGAGUUGUGUUAUUGAAUAUAUUGAAGAUUAAAAAUUUAGAUGGUUGUGAACCAAAAAUUAUUGCAAGUACAUUUCAGAUGAUAAUUAACCCAACUUACAUUGUUUGAGAAACUUUUGUACUUGUCGAAAAAAGUCGAGGAAGACUAACUUGGUAGUGAUUCUGCCCAAUUGUGCCAAGCUUGAUACUGAUUAAUUAUAGUCAUGAUAUGCAUGUCCAUUUGUUUUGUUGUGACAAUGAUUUUUGACUUUUGUAUCAUAAAGGUUCGUUGAAAUUGGUCUGAUUUCUUUGUCGUGCUUCCGAUCAGAUGUAGUUGAAAUUUACAUUUAAGCCGUGAUGUUUGAGGAAUGGUCAAGGCUAGAAACCACUUAAGAUAUUAUUGAAUAAUGUCAUCUCAGAACAGAAUUCCAGUUAGGCUAAGGUAAUGAUAUUCCAUUUUCACGGAUCCUUUUACUUGGAGACAAGCGAGGAAAUUAUCCACCCAAAUUCAUUAUCAUUAUUGUCAUCCAAGUUUGUAGUCUUUAAGUAGCUAAUGGAGAAUGAAACUGUUAAACUUCUACCAUGUAUUAUAUAGUUCUUGCUAAUGAUGGUAAUCUUGCAGUUGCUUGUUGCUGGGGGUGGCAUGUACAUAGAGGUUUUCAACAGAGGUGUCAUUCCACUAGCCUACAGCAUCUAUAAGAAAAACAAAGCAGGAGAGACAAAUACUUACUUGGAUGGCAUCUACCUCCUCUUCACCUACUUCACAAAACCUGAAUCCAUUGCAAUUCUUGAGGCAACGUUAAAGACGGAUGAUGACGUCAUCCGAUCAACUAGUUUCAGAGUAAGAAAGAGGAAGUUGUAGAAUUGGUUGCGUGCUUUCUUUUCUGCAGUCCUGAGAGGAAGACAAGAAUUGGCAGUGGCAUGUAGUCUUGUAUGUUAUGGAUCUUCAUUCUUCCAGAUCACUAAAAAUUUAAUUUGUUUUUUGCAACAUAGUCAGAUCAGCAAUGAUGCUAGUGAGAUAAGCAAGAAUCUUACAAUAGGCAGUCUCUGGGUGAUAUGGUCUUGCAAUAGGGUGCAGUUGUUUCAUCAAAAUCCCACAUCUUACAAGCAUGUGUUAACCAUCUUGGAAUUCAUAGUCAUGCAAGGACAUGGUGAUUUCCAUAACUUUUUAACUAAUGACUGAAUUUGGAUGAACUUUACUGUUGGUCGAG